AUUUUGUUAAUAAGAGUGCCCUCCCUUGGAAUGAACGACGACAUGUGAACAUAAAGUUGCAUACUUUUAAUCAAGAAAACAAACUCGGGUUCAUUAAGAAUUAUUGUACUUUCAACAUGUUGAAGCAGCCUAAAGGAGGAGGGGCGACCAGCUUUCUUGUGACUGGAAUCAAAGUGGGAAUAGCUAUUGAAUUAGCGCUCUUUGGAGGAUCCUAUUUGCUCUGGCGUCAAAUGAAUUCAUCGCAAGAUUUUAGGCUUAAGAUGUACAAAAAAUAUCCAUCAGUUUUAAAUGCAUAUUAUUGGGUUGGAGAGAAAACUGGUUAUCAGACACGAGAAACAGAUUAUAAAAGGUGGGGUUUAUCGGACCAGUGAUGUUGACAGUUCUACAAACAAUUUUAUAUUUAUAUACUUAGUGUUUGGAUAAACAAAAGUAUAAAUGUGUCGUCUAUUUGUGUCUUGAUCAACGUAUGUAAUUAUGUAUCGUAUAUUUGCGUCUGGAUGAACAGAUGUAAUUAUGUAUCGACUUUAUGUGUCUAAAUGAUAUAUUUGUAUUUGGAUGGACAGAUGACGUAAGCAUAUCAUCUAUUUACGUCUGGAUCAACAGUAGACUGGAUAACCUGCUCUAAAUGACGUCAGGCUUGUUUCUACGUCACGGCACUAUUCUGACUUUAAUAUCCAGUCUAGAUCAACAGAAGAGAUAAUUAUGUAUACCGGUAGUUUGUUUGUGUCCGGAUCAGCAGAUGACGUAAUUAUGUAUCGCCUAUUUGGUUGAAUGAUGUAGAUGGAUAUGUGUAAAUAAAAAGAAUUAUAAAAUC
This is a long non-coding RNA of Patella vulgata (common limpet), 814 nucleotides long. RefSeq lists it as uncharacterized. The record is from RefSeq and is a predicted model, not a curated record. NCBI's taxonomy places the organism in Eukaryota, Metazoa, Mollusca, Gastropoda, Patellidae. The transcript is spliced from 3 exons.